ACGUGGGUAACCUGCCCUAUACACAUGGAUAACAUACUGAAAGUUUACUAAUACAUGAUAAUAUGUAUUUGCGGCAUCGUAGAUAUAUCAAAGUGUUAGCGGUAUAGGAUGGACCCGCGUCUGAUUAGCUAGUUGGUGAGAUAACUGCCCACCAAGGCGACGAUCAGUAGCCGACCUGAGAGGGUGAUCGGCCACAUUGGAACUGAGACACGGUCCAAACUCCUACGGGAGGCAGCAGGC
Molecule: ribosomal RNA, 240 nt
Filed under: uncultured Peptostreptococcus sp.
Lineage: Bacteria; Bacillati; Bacillota; Clostridia; Peptostreptococcales; Peptostreptococcaceae
Description: partial 16S ribosomal RNA
Rfam family: Bacterial small subunit ribosomal RNA
Source: RNAcentral